Molecule: transfer RNA, 71 nt
Filed under: Ameiurus melas (black bullhead)
Lineage: Eukaryota; Metazoa; Chordata; Actinopteri; Siluriformes; Ictaluridae
Rfam family: tRNA
About the family: Transfer RNA (tRNA) molecules are approximately 80 nucleotides in length. Their secondary structure includes four short double-helical elements and three loops (D, anti-codon, and T loops).
Source: Rfam by way of RNAcentral
GCGUUGGUGGUUCAGUGGUAGAAUUCUAGCUUGCCAUGUUGGAGACCUGGGUUUGAUUCCCAGCCAAUGCA